UACGUAGGUGGCAAGCGUUGUCCGGAUUUACUGGGCGUAAAGAGCGCGCAGGCGGUCGAUUUAGUCGCGUGUGAAAGCCCCCGGCUCAACUGGGGAGGGUCACGCGAUACUGAUCGACUCGAAGGCAGGAGAGGGUAGUGGAAUUCCCGGUGUAGUGGUGAAAUGCGUAGAGAUCCGGAGGAACACCAGGGGCGAAGGCGGCUUUCUGGGUCCGACCUGACGCUGAGGCGCGAAAGCGUGGGGAGCGAACGGG
Molecule: ribosomal RNA, 253 nt
Filed under: uncultured bacterium
Lineage: Bacteria
Description: partial 16S ribosomal RNA
Rfam family: Bacterial small subunit ribosomal RNA
Source: RNAcentral